This is a long non-coding RNA of Cygnus olor (mute swan), 533 nucleotides long. RefSeq lists it as uncharacterized. The transcript has 3 exons. The record is from RefSeq and is a predicted model, not a curated record. Lineage: Eukaryota; Metazoa; Chordata; Aves; Anseriformes; Anatidae.
GCAGAGAGUACCCCCAGAAAAGCCCACAGAAAAAGAAAGGAGGCGCAGAGAAGGCCAAAAGGCGGAGAGGAGGCUCAGAGAAGGCCAAAAGGUGAAGAGGAAGUGCAGAGAAGGCAAGAGAAAAUGAAAGGAAGCCCAGAGAAGGCCAGAGAAUAUAAAAGGAGACCCAGAGAAUGCCAGAGAAAAUGAAAGAUGGCCCAGAGAAGGCCAGAGAAAAUGAAAGGGGGCCUGGAGAUGGUCAAAAGGCUGAAGGAGGCGAGAGAAGGCCAAAAGGCGGAGAGGAGACUCAGAGAAGGCCAAAAGGUGAAGAGGAAGUGCAGAGAAGGCAAGAGAAAAUGAAAGGAAGACCAGAGAAGGCCAGAGAAUAUAAAAGGAGACCCAGAGAAUGCCAGAGAAAAUGAAAGAUGGCCCAGAAAAGGUCAGAGAAAAUGAAAGCAGGCCCAGAGAAGGUCAAAAGUUGGAGAGGAUGCCCAGAGAAGGCCAAAAGGUGGAGAGGAGGCCCAGAGAAGCCCAGAGAAUAUUAAAGGAGACCC